UUGCAAGUCGAGCGGACAGAUGGGAGCUUGCUCCCUGAUGUUAGCGGCGGACGCCGUGAGUAACACGUGGGUAACCUGCCUGUAAGACUGGGAUAACUCCGGGAAACCGGGGCUAAUACCGGAUGGUUGUUUGAACCGCAUGGUUCAGACAUAAAAGGUGGCUUCGGCUACCACUUACAGAUGGACCCGCGGCGCAUUAGCUAGUUGGUGAGGUAACGGCUCACCAAGGCAACGAUGCGUAGCCGACCUGAGAGGGUGAUCGGCCACACUGGGACUGAGACACGGCCCAGACUCCUACGGGAGGCAGCAGUAGGGAAUCUUCCGCAAUGGACGAAAGUCUGACGGAGCAACGCCGCGUGAGUGAUGAAGGUUUUCGGAUCGUAAAGCUCUGUUGUUAGGGAAGAACAAGUGCCGUUCAAAUAGGGCGGCACCUUGACGGUACCUAACCAGAAAGCCACGGCUAACUACGUGCCAGCAGCCGCGGUAAUACGUAGGUGGCAAGCGUUGUCCGGAAUUAGUGGGCGUAAGGGGCUCGCAGGCGGUUUCUUAAGUCUGAUGUGAAGG
Molecule: ribosomal RNA, 564 nt
Filed under: Bacillus velezensis
Lineage: Bacteria; Bacillati; Bacillota; Bacilli; Caryophanales; Bacillaceae
Description: bacterial SSU rRNA
Rfam family: Bacterial small subunit ribosomal RNA
Source: RNAcentral